GUGUUUAUAGCCCUCUGAGUUAAUCACUUAACUAAACUGUUUUAACUAAACUGAAAACAAACUCCAGAGUCACAACAAUGAUGUUUUUCAUCAUUUGGGCACUCUGCUGCAAUCAAGGUUCUGUGGGUCAGGUUGUGACUCAGUCUGGAGAUCAGACAGUGCAGUCUGGUCAAACUGUUACUAUUGAAUGUAACCACACACCAAGAGUUAAUUGCUGGGAUUCACCUGAGAGCAAAAAAUAUUGUAUGUCCUGGUACCACCAGAUUCCUGGAGAAAUUCCUAAACUCUUGAUCUAUUACACAUCAAAGGCAGCUUCAGGAGUUUCCUCUAGAUUCAGUGGCAGUGAGAGUGGAAACCAGAUUGACUUCAAACUGACCAUCAGUGGAGUCCAACCUGAAGAUUCAGGAGUUUAUUACUGUCAGAGUGAAUAUAAUAAGGCAGAUCCUAAGAACCCAGACUGGGUGUUCACACAGUGUAAAAGCAUUGUACAAAAACCUCUUUCAAUAAACUACCCUCCUCAGUUCUGACUCACUGCAGAUUUGAAGAGCAUUUCUCAGCUCACUGAUUUUUCCAAAACGCACACAUAAACAGAUAUAUAUAUAUAAACAUGUGAAUUUUCAGUACUGUCCAAAUUUCUGCAGAAAUUGCUAAUGUAUAUAUGUUAUAAAUAUAAAGUGCCAAACUGAAAAAAAUAAA
Molecule: non-coding RNA, 696 nt
Organism: Myxocyprinus asiaticus (Chinese sucker)
Lineage: Eukaryota; Metazoa; Chordata; Actinopteri; Cypriniformes; Catostomidae
Source: the annotation of a RefSeq genome assembly